UGCCAGCCGCCGCGGUAAGACGUAGGAUGCAAGCGUUGUCCGGAUUUAUUGGGCGUAAAGAGUUCGUAGGCGGUUAGUUAAGUCUGGUGUUAAAUACCGUGGCCCAACCACGGAGCUGCAUCAGAUACUGGCUAACUUGAGUGCGGUAGAGGCGAGUGGAAUUCCCAGUGUAGCGGUGAAAUGCGUAGAUAUUGGGAAGAACACCAGUGGCGAAGGCGGCUAACUGGCUCGGUACUGACGCUGAGAUGCGAAAGCGUGGGGAGCAAACAGGAUUAGAUA
RNAcentral lists this ribosomal RNA (279 nucleotides) under uncultured bacterium. Its description in RNAcentral is "partial 16S ribosomal RNA". It matches the Rfam family "Bacterial small subunit ribosomal RNA", at positions 506 to 784 of the family's 1533-position model. The record is from RNAcentral.